UUCUACGGCCAUGCCACCCUGAACAAGCCUGAUGUCUGAACUCGGAAGCUAAGCAGGGUCAGGCCUGGUUAGUACUUGGAUGGCAGACCACCUAGGAAGACCAGGUGCUGUAGGCA
Pteropus alecto (black flying fox) is the source of this 116-nucleotide non-coding RNA. The record is from Rfam. Lineage: Eukaryota; Metazoa; Chordata; Mammalia; Chiroptera; Pteropodidae.